RNAcentral lists this ribosomal RNA (497 nucleotides) under uncultured bacterium. RNAcentral's name for it is "partial 16S ribosomal RNA". It matches the Rfam family "Bacterial small subunit ribosomal RNA", at positions 28 to 507 of the family's 1533-position model. The record is from RNAcentral.
GAUGAACGCUGGCGGCGUGCCUAAUACAUGCAAGUCGAGCGAACGGACGAGAAGCUUGCUUCUCUGAUGUUAGCGGCGGACGGGUGGGUAACACGUGGAUAACCUACCUAUAAGGCUGGGAUAACUUCGGGAAACCGGAGCUAAUACCGGAUAAUAUUUUGAACCGCAUGGUUCAAAAGUGAAAGACGGUCUUGCUGUCACUUAUAGAUGGAUCCGCGCUGCAUUAGCUAGUUGGUAAGGUAACGGCUUACCAAGGCAACGAUGCAUAGCCGACCUGAGAGGGUGAUCGGCCACACUGGAACUGAGACACGGUCCAGACUCCUACGGGAGGCAGCAGUAGGGAAUCUUCCGCAAUGGGCGAAAGCCUGACGGAGCAACGCCGCGUGAGUGAUGAAGGUCUUCGGAUCGUAAAACUCUGUUAUUAGGGAAGAACAUAUGUGUAAGUAACUGUGCACAUCUUGACGGUACCUAAUCAGAAAGCCACGGCUAACUACGUG